GGGGACGUUACGGAUUCGACAGGGGUAGAUUGAGCUCAAGUCGCGCGUCGAGGCUACGACUCGUUAACCGUUACAGCCAAUUAUAACUGGCAAAGAAAACAAUUACUCUUUAGCAGCUGCGUAAGCAAUGCUAAAGGAUCCUUCCUAUCAUCGCCCAUGUGCUAGAUGAAGGGUCUCACUUAUUAGUGGGCUACGCUAUGCUCCUCCGUCUGGGGAGUUAUAGAAGAGAUUAAUCAGACUAGCUAUUCGGACGCCUGUUGGUAGGCAGAAGAACUAGCGAAUUACGAAUGUACCAACUACACGCGUAGACGCUUGAGUGCCAAUAUCUCUGGACGUGGGUUCGACUCCCACCGUCUCCACCA
This 362-nucleotide transfer-messenger RNA is filed under the name Saliterribacillus persicus. RNAcentral's name for it is "Standard tmRNA". It matches the Rfam family "transfer-messenger RNA". From Rfam's summary of the family: Bacterial tmRNA, also known as 10Sa RNA or SsrA, is named for its dual tRNA and mRNA-like properties. Its role is to liberate the mRNA from a stalled ribosome. The record is from Rfam by way of RNAcentral. Lineage: Bacteria; Bacillati; Bacillota; Bacilli; Caryophanales; Bacillaceae.